This 255-nucleotide ribosomal RNA is filed under the name uncultured bacterium. Its description in RNAcentral is "partial 16S ribosomal RNA". It matches the Rfam family "Bacterial small subunit ribosomal RNA", at positions 524 to 776 of the family's 1533-position model. The record is from RNAcentral.
UACGGGGGGAGCAAGCGUUGUUCGGAUUUACUGGGCGUAAAGGGCGCGUAGGCGGCCACAACAAGUCACUUGUGAAAUCUCCGGGCUUAACCCGGUAGCGGCCAAGUGAUACUGUUGGGCUAGAGUGCGGAAGGGGCAACUGGAAUUCUCGGUGUAGCGGUGAAAUGCGUAGAUAUCGAGAGGAACACCUGCGGCGAAGGCGGGUUGCUGGGCCGACACUGACGCUGAGGCGCGAAAGCGUGGGGAGCGAACAGG